UCAGCCUUUGGGGGGCCAUAGCAGAAACGUUCAUGUCACAGCCCCUGUCAAGUAAUACCCGAUAAUACCUGUGAAUUCUGCU
Molecule: ribozyme, 82 nt
Filed under: Crocodylus porosus (Australian saltwater crocodile)
Lineage: Eukaryota; Metazoa; Chordata; Crocodylia; Crocodylidae
Description: Mammalian CPEB3 ribozyme (ENSCPRG00005011200.1)
Rfam family: Mammalian CPEB3 ribozyme
About the family: The mammalian CPEB3 ribozyme is a self cleaving RNA located in the second intron of the CPEB3 gene which belongs to a family of genes regulating messenger RNA polyadenylation. This ribozyme is highly conserved and found only in mammals.
Source: RNAcentral